This 253-nucleotide ribosomal RNA is filed under the name uncultured bacterium. RNAcentral describes it as "partial 16S ribosomal RNA". It matches the Rfam family "Bacterial small subunit ribosomal RNA", at positions 524 to 776 of the family's 1533-position model. The record is from RNAcentral.
UACGUAGGGGGCAAGCGUUGUCCGGAAUCAUUGGGCGUAAAGAGCGUGUAGGCGGCCAGAAAAGUCCGCUGUGAAAACUCGAGGCUCAACUUCGAGCUGUCGGUGGAAACUUUCUGGCUAGAGUCCGGAAGAGGAGAAUGGAAUUCCUGGUGUAGCGGUGAAAUGCGCAGAUAUCAGGAAGAACACCCGUGGCGAAGGCGGUUCUCUGGGACGGUACUGACGCUGAGGAGCGAAAGCAUGGGGAGCGAACAGG